GCGGGUGUAGCUCAGCGGUAGAGCGUUACCUUGCCAAGGUAAAUGUCGAGGGUUCGAUCCCCUUCACCCGCU
Molecule: transfer RNA, 72 nt
Filed under: bacterium
Lineage: Bacteria
Also listed under: 3 other names
Description: tRNA-Gly
Rfam family: tRNA
About the family: Transfer RNA (tRNA) molecules are approximately 80 nucleotides in length. Their secondary structure includes four short double-helical elements and three loops (D, anti-codon, and T loops). Further hydrogen bonds mediate the characteristic L-shaped molecular structure. tRNAs have two regions of fundamental functional importance: the anti-codon, which is responsible for specific mRNA codon recognition, and the 3' end, to which the tRNAs corresponding amino acid is attached (by aminoacyl-tRNA synthetases). tRNAs cope with the degeneracy of the genetic code in two manners: having more than one tRNA (with a specific anti-codon) for a particular amino acid; and 'wobble' base-pairing, i.e. permitting non-standard base-pairing at the 3rd anti-codon position.
Source: RNAcentral